AUACGUAGGGGGCGAGCGUUGUCCGGAAUGACUGGGCGUAAAGGGCGUGUAGGCGGCCGAUUAAGUCUGGAGUGAAAGUCCCGCUUUCAAGGUGGGAAUUGCUUUGGAGACUGGUUGGCUUGAGUGCGGAAGAGGUAAGUGGAAUUCCCAGUGUAGCGGUGAAAUGCGUAGAGAUUGGGAGGAACACCAGUGGCGAAGGCGACUUACUGGGCCGUAACUGACGCUGAGGCGCGAAAGCGUGGGGAGCGAACAGGAUUAGAUACCCUGGUAGUCCACGCGGUAAACGAUGAAUGCUAGGUGUUGCGGGUAUCGACCCCUGCAGUGCCGGAGUCAACACAAUAAGCAUUCCGCCUGGGGAGUACGGCCGCAAGGUUGAAACUCAAAUGAAUUGACGGGG
RNAcentral lists this ribosomal RNA (397 nucleotides) under uncultured bacterium. Its description in RNAcentral is "partial 16S ribosomal RNA". It matches the Rfam family "Bacterial small subunit ribosomal RNA", at positions 523 to 918 of the family's 1533-position model. The record is from RNAcentral.